CAGCCUAAGCAAAUGGCCCAGCUGGAGUUGCUGACUGUGGCUCCCAGAAGCUCCCAUAUUUGUUGGGAUCCAGCUCCUGCUGCUUGCCUCGAAUUGCUCAGUUGGAGCAGUGCCUCCCCCACGCUGAGUCCUUCCCGACAUUCCAGCAGCCACCUCCAGCAGCGCUCCCGGGGGCAGGAAUCCCGGGCCAGCUGACACUCUCCCUCCACAGGAGGAACCCUGGACAAGCUGACACUCUCCCUCCACAGGAGGAACCCUGGACAAGCUGACACUCUCCCUCCACAGGAGGAAUCCUGGACGAGCUGACACUCUCCCUCCACAGGAGGAAGCCCCAGAGCAUGGUCUGUGAUGGGAUUCUCUGUGACACAGCUGAAGGGGCAGCCUCUGACACUUUGAAGAAUGGAGCUCAUUUGAAGUAGAGAAGGACAUCAGAAGUGACUGGAGAACAAAACCACACUAAGAUCAGUCAUCUGGAGAUGGAUUAAGACCUGUUUGAAGCUCAGCUGCACACACUAGGGACAGGAGCUGGUAAAGCCAUACAGCCCUUCAAUUUUCUUUGAGCAAUUUGCCUUCAAUCUGACCUCUGUGGCAGAUGGAGUACAGAAUUGAUAGGUUCUGAGCUGAUGAUUCUCCUAGCUGGUGCCAAGCAAAAUCUCCAUUGUUAAAAGAAUUAAAAGAAUCACACAGGAGUUACCAAAAAUUUAAUUCAUUUUUCUUUUAAUUUUGAAUUAAUAAUAUUUUUAUCCUUUAGUAAGAGGUAUUUAUAACACCCUGCCAAAGCAGUGCAAAGCCACAGUUUGUUGAGCCUACCUAGGGCUAUGAUUUAAGAGUACAAAUUCAGUGCAGAGGUAGCUGGGGCUGCAAUUACUCCUACCCAGCCCCAUCUCCUGGGCUGUGUGUGUCAGCUGCUCCUCACAUAUCCCAGGAGCCUGGCACAGGGCAGUCCAGCUUCUUCACAGCCAGGAAGCUGCUUCAGAGCCCAGGCUGGAAGAGAAAGGAAGCCAGCAGAAGGCAGUUUAAAGGUACUGUAGCUCAUCAAUGCUGAUUGAUUGAUGCACUCAUGCAAGUUGGGUCCUGCCAGACUGCUCCCUACUCUUUAUGUGAGGAACUUCAUACCCACAGCAAAUCAAAUUUUACUGCUGCCAUGAAAAGAAAAGGCCUUUCAUAACAAUUUUACUGUUACUAGGUACGUUAGUUGUUGUGAGGUCUAUUUUUCAAUCUCAAAGCAAGAGUCAAAAAUCCUACAGAACAUGUUUCAGAAGUUACUCAAGCACUCUUCAUGCUACUUUAUUAGCCUAUCUGAACAACAAAAA
This is a long non-coding RNA of Passer montanus (Eurasian tree sparrow), 1313 nucleotides long. RefSeq lists it as uncharacterized. The transcript is spliced from 2 exons. The record is from RefSeq and is a predicted model, not a curated record. NCBI's taxonomy places the organism in Eukaryota, Metazoa, Chordata, Aves, Passeriformes, Passeridae.